UGGGUGGUGAAAUUUGGAAGGGUAGUAGUUUGAGACCAGCUCCCCUUCAAAAAAAGUAGGAGGUCCUAUCUGAAAAAUCACUAAAGCACAAAGGACUAGAGUAGUAGCUCCAGUGGUAGAACAAAAAGAAAAUAUAAGAAAAACACCAGCAG
Long non-coding RNA from Perognathus longimembris pacificus (Pacific pocket mouse), 152 nucleotides. RefSeq lists it as uncharacterized. NCBI's taxonomy places the organism in Eukaryota, Metazoa, Chordata, Mammalia, Rodentia, Heteromyidae. The transcript is spliced from 3 exons. The record is from RefSeq and is a predicted model, not a curated record.